CUGCAGAAUUCGCCCUUAGAGUUUGAUCAUGGCUCAGAUUGAACGCUGGCGGCAGGCUUAACACAUGCAAGUCGAGCGGGGAAAGGUAGCUUGCUACCUAACCUAGCGGCGGACGGGUGAGUAAUGCUUAGGAAUCUGCCUAUUAGUGGGGGACAACAUCUCGAAAGGGAUGCUAAUACCGCAUACGUCCUACGGGAGAAAGCAGGGGAUCUUUGGACCUUGCGCUAAUAGAUGAGCCUAAGUCGGAUUAGCUAGUUGGUGGGGUAAAGGCCUACCAAGGCGACGAUCUGUAGCGGGUCUGAGAGGAUGAUCCGCCACACUGGGACUGAGACACGGCCCAUACUCCNACAGGACGCAACAA
This 361-nucleotide ribosomal RNA is filed under the name uncultured Acinetobacter sp. RNAcentral describes it as "partial 16S ribosomal RNA". It matches the Rfam family "Bacterial small subunit ribosomal RNA", at positions 1 to 354 of the family's 1533-position model. Lineage: Bacteria; Pseudomonadati; Pseudomonadota; Gammaproteobacteria; Moraxellales; Moraxellaceae. The record is from RNAcentral.